GCUAGUUGCACGAGUUCACACUCGUAGCAUAUAGCUCAGUAACACGUGGUCAAGCUACCCUGCAGACACGGACAACCUCGGGAAACUGAGGCUAAUCCGCGAUACCGAUCCCACGCUGGAAUGCCGGGAUCCACAAACGCUCCGGCGCUGCAGGAUGCGGCUGCGGCCGAUUAGGUAGACGGUGGGGUAACGGCCCACCGUGCCGAUAAUCGGUACGGGUUGUGAGAGCAAGAGCCCGGAGACGGAAUCUGAGACAAGAUUCCGGGCCCUACGGGGCGCAGCAGGCGCGAAACCUUUACACUGCACGCAAGUGCGAUAAGGGGACUCCGAGUGCGAGGGCAUAUAGUCCUCGCUUUUGAGAACCGUAAGGCGGUUCUCGAAUAAGAGCUGGGCAAGACCGGUGCCAGCCGCCGCGGUAAUACCGGCAGCUCAAGUGAUGGCCAAUCUUAUUGGGCCUAAAGCGUCCGUAGCUGGCCACGAAAGUCCGUCGGGAAAUCCAUCUGCCCAACAGAUGGGCGUCCGGCGGAAACUUCGUGGCUUGGGACCGGAAGGCUCGAGGGGUACGUCCGGGGUAGGAGUGAAAUCCCGUAAUCCUGGACGGACCGCCGAUGGCGAAAGCACCUCGAGAAGACGGAUCCGACAGUAG
Molecule: ribosomal RNA, 646 nt
Filed under: Halogeometricum sp. E3
Lineage: Archaea; Methanobacteriati; Methanobacteriota; Halobacteria; Halobacteriales; Haloferacaceae
Description: bacterial SSU rRNA
Rfam family: Archaeal small subunit ribosomal RNA
Source: RNAcentral